Long non-coding RNA from Homo sapiens (human), 1541 nucleotides. Ensembl annotates it as long intergenic non-protein coding RNA 2848. The record is from Ensembl. Lineage: Eukaryota; Metazoa; Chordata; Mammalia; Primates; Hominidae.
UAACGGUCCCCCGCCCGUUGGUGGCAAGGCGGCUGGACUGGAAUCCCAGCAGGCGACAUGCGAGGAGGCGGGCAGCCCAGGAGGGUUGGACACGGCAAUGUGGACCUCGCCGCUUCCACAACGAUGCUGGCUACUGAUCGCGUGCACUUCCUUGCCAAAGAAAAUUUGUGCUGUGCACUAACAUGCAAUACAAAUACUGAUGAAAAUAAAACUAUUGCCCUCCUACCAAAUGAGAAAUUAAUGUUAUGACUGGAUGAAGACAAUUGUGAAGAAACUGCACUUUGAGGUUGUCUAUCUCUGUAUUCUGAUGGAAAAGCGUGGAGUUUAGAAGCACUGCUCACUCCUUCAGUUUCUAACAAGUCAGUAUUCUCAUAGCAAUUUAAAUUUAAAUGUUCAAAUUACCUCUCCUUCCCUGGUUCAGAAUAAGUAUGUUGUUUUUCUGUUUGUAAAAUUUCUGACUCUGGGUUUUUUCAGUUGGGCUUUAGAGAGGAUAACUCCCAUAUCGCUGUUGUAUCUAUUUCUCUUCAGCAUCUGGCUGCAUGUGAUAAAGAUCAUAGAAUUAGACCUGGUCCUGUAUGUAUUUUGGGACAAAAAUUCAAAGUAAUCAACUCAAGAUAGGAGUCUACAACUUUAAUUCUUAAUAAAAGAUUUCCUUUGAUUUCCCCACAUCUUUAUGAUUCCUAGUGUAGCAGGACAAGCCACAGACAAAACCCCUCAGACACCAAGUUAAAGAAGGAAGUGGUUUAUUUGGCUGGGAGCAUCGGCAAGACUCCUGUCUCAAGAGCCGAGCUCCCCGAGUGAGCAAUUCCUGUCCCUUUUAAGGGCUCACAACUCUAAGGGGGUCUGCUUAAAAGAGUUGUGAUUGAUUGAGCAAGCAGGGGGUACGUGACUGGGGGCUGCAUGCACUGGUAAUUAGAUCACAACAAAACAGGACAGGGAUUUUCACAGUGCUUUCUAUACAAUGACAAUGUCUGUGAUCUAUAGAUAACAUAACCGAUUAGGUCAGGGGUCGAACUUAAACUACCAGGCCCAGGGUGUGGUGCCGGGCUGUCUGCUUGUGGAUUUCAUUUCUGCCUUUUAGUUUUUACUUCUUCUUUGGAGGCAGAAAUUGGGCAUGAGACAAUAUGAGGGGUGGUCUCCUCCCUUACUAGAAGAAAUUCACCCAUGGGUGAAGCAUGUGGUUCUGUUGAAUAAUGUUUUGUUGGGGAUUUCCACAUCGAGUUUCAUGAGGCAUACUGUUAGACAGGGUUUUUUUGGUACUGUCUUUCCCUGAUUCUAUUGGAGAGUAAUACUAGCUUCCUAAAAUAUAUUGGGAAAUGUUCUCUCUUCUUCUACUUUUGGACAAUAUUAAACUCAUAAUGACAAGUUUUCUUGUGAAAAUGCUCUGAAAAAAAUGUAGGGUGGGCUGGGUGCAGUGGCUCACACCUGUAAUUCCAGCACUUUGGGAGGCCGAGGGAGGCAGAUCACGAGGUCAGGAGUUUGAGACCAGCCUGACUGACAUGGUGAAACCCCAUCUGUACUAAAAAUACAAAAAUUAGCCA